This 1550-nucleotide ribosomal RNA is filed under the name Klebsiella pneumoniae. RNAcentral describes it as "bacterial SSU rRNA". It matches the Rfam family "Bacterial small subunit ribosomal RNA". The record is from RNAcentral. Lineage: Bacteria; Pseudomonadati; Pseudomonadota; Gammaproteobacteria; Enterobacterales; Enterobacteriaceae. RNAcentral also lists the same sequence under 1 other name.
AAAUUGAAGAGUUUGAUCAUGGCUCAGAUUGAACGCUGGCGGCAGGCCUAACACAUGCAAGUCGAGCGGUAGCACAGAGAGCUUGCUCUCGGGUGACGAGCGGCGGACGGGUGAGUAAUGUCUGGGAAACUGCCUGAUGGAGGGGGAUAACUACUGGAAACGGUAGCUAAUACCGCAUAACGUCGCAAGACCAAAGUGGGGGACCUUCGGGCCUCAUGCCAUCAGAUGUGCCCAGAUGGGAUUAGCUAGUAGGUGGGGUAAUGGCUCACCUAGGCGACGAUCCCUAGCUGGUCUGAGAGGAUGACCAGCCACACUGGAACUGAGACACGGUCCAGACUCCUACGGGAGGCAGCAGUGGGGAAUAUUGCACAAUGGGCGCAAGCCUGAUGCAGCCAUGCCGCGUGUGUGAAGAAGGCCUUCGGGUUGUAAAGCACUUUCAGCGGGGAGGAAGGCGUUAAGGUUAAUAACCUUGUCGAUUGACGUUACCCGCAGAAGAAGCACCGGCUAACUCCGUGCCAGCAGCCGCGGUAAUACGGAGGGUGCAAGCGUUAAUCGGAAUUACUGGGCGUAAAGCGCACGCAGGCGGUCUGUCAAGUCGGAUGUGAAAUCCCCGGGCUCAACCUGGGAACUGCAUUCGAAACUGGCAGGCUAGAGUCUUGUAGAGGGGGGUAGAAUUCCAGGUGUAGCGGUGAAAUGCGUAGAGAUCUGGAGGAAUACCGGUGGCGAAGGCGGCCCCCUGGACAAAGACUGACGCUCAGGUGCGAAAGCGUGGGGAGCAAACAGGAUUAGAUACCCUGGUAGUCCACGCCGUAAACGAUGUCGAUUUGGAGGUUGUGCCCUUGAGGCGUGGCUUCCGGAGCUAACGCGUUAAAUCGACCGCCUGGGGAGUACGGCCGCAAGGUUAAAACUCAAAUGAAUUGACGGGGGCCCGCACAAGCGGUGGAGCAUGUGGUUUAAUUCGAUGCAACGCGAAGAACCUUACCUGGUCUUGACAUCCACAGAACUUUCCAGAGAUGGAUUGGUGCCUUCGGGAACUGUGAGACAGGUGCUGCAUGGCUGUCGUCAGCUCGUGUUGUGAAAUGUUGGGUUAAGUCCCGCAACGAGCGCAACCCUUAUCCUUUGUUGCCAGCGGUUAGGCCGGGAACUCAAAGGAGACUGCCAGUGAUAAACUGGAGGAAGGUGGGGAUGACGUCAAGUCAUCAUGGCCCUUACGACCAGGGCUACACACGUGCUACAAUGGCAUAUACAAAGAGAAGCGACCUCGCGAGAGCAAGCGGACCUCAUAAAGUAUGUCGUAGUCCGGAUUGGAGUCUGCAACUCGACUCCAUGAAGUCGGAAUCGCUAGUAAUCGUAGAUCAGAAUGCUACGGUGAAUACGUUCCCGGGCCUUGUACACACCGCCCGUCACACCAUGGGAGUGGGUUGCAAAAGAAGUAGGUAGCUUAACCUUCGGGAGGGCGCUUACCACUUUGUGAUUCAUGACUGGGGUGAAGUCGUAACAAGGUAACCGUAGGGGAACCUGCGGUUGGAUCACCUCCUUACCUUAAAGAA